GCUGGUGGGCACUUAUCGACACUACAAGCAUAUAUGUAUUUCAUGCCAGUCCUAUCCUGAGAGUUCUAGUUUGGAGAAAGUGCUGAUAAUUCUCAGAGUUAUUAAUCUGUUUUAGUUUUCCAUUGAUCCCUAAGAGAUAAUAAUUUAUCAGAAUAAUUGUUUUAGAAUCCUCCCCACUUUCCUAUCUAUCUAACUAUGCUCGGGGCAGCUUUUCAACCAAUUAAGGUGAUAAGAGCAACAAUGGGGCAUGAGAGAAUAUAUGGCAGAGCACAGGAGAAUGUUGCCAAAGCAUGCUGUGGACUAUUCAUCACUGGAAAUCUUGAAGAGUGAGAAGAAGUGUUUCACUCUGAGGGCCGGAAUGCACUUUUGCACAAACAAACCACCAUACAGAGAAGCUGGAGAAGAUUAGCUAUAACUUUCCAUGAGAAAGAACAACUCCCAAGUGUGGUAGAACACCUUUCAAGGCAUAUUGUUUUGAAAACUGAUGAGCAAAGACUCACAUGAAAUUGAGAUAUAUUAAAUAAAACUUUUGUUUAAAGUCA
Long non-coding RNA from Hemicordylus capensis (graceful crag lizard), 542 nucleotides. RefSeq lists it as uncharacterized. The transcript has 3 exons. Lineage: Eukaryota; Metazoa; Chordata; Lepidosauria; Squamata; Cordylidae. The record is from RefSeq and is a predicted model, not a curated record.